Molecule: ribosomal RNA, 494 nt
Filed under: uncultured bacterium
Lineage: Bacteria
Description: partial 16S ribosomal RNA
Rfam family: Bacterial small subunit ribosomal RNA
Source: RNAcentral
GACGAACGCUGGCGGCGCGCUUAACACAUGCAAGUCGAACGGAAAGGCCUGCUUUCCCUUGUGGAUUGCGGGUACUCGAGUGGCGAACGGGUGAGUAACACGUGAGUGAUCUGCCCCCAACUUGGGUAUAAGCCUGGGAAACUGGGUCUAAUUCCCGAUAGGACUGCAGGGUGGUGCCUGUGGUGGAAAACGAUUUUCUAGUGGUUGGGGAUGAGCUCGCGGCCUAUCAGCUUGUUGGUGGGGUAAUGGCCUACCAAGGCGGCGACGGGUAGCCGGCCUGGGAGGGUGGACGGCCACAGUGGGACUGAGAUACGGCCCAGACUCCUACGGGAGGCAGCAGUGGGGAAUAGUGCACAAUGGGCGGAAGCCUGAUGCAGCGACGCCGCGUGGGGGAUGACGGCCUUCGGGUUGUAAACUCCUUUCGACCGCGAGGAAGCCACCUGGUUGGAAGGGUGGUGACGGUAGUGGUAGAAGAAGCACCGGCUAACUACGUG